RNAcentral lists this ribosomal RNA (463 nucleotides) under Treponema sp. oral taxon 253. Its description in RNAcentral is "bacterial SSU rRNA". It matches the Rfam family "Bacterial small subunit ribosomal RNA", at positions 40 to 492 of the family's 1533-position model. The record is from RNAcentral. Lineage: Bacteria; Pseudomonadati; Spirochaetota; Spirochaetia; Treponematales; Treponemataceae.
CGGGCGUCUUAACAUGCAAGUCGAACGGUAAGAGGGGAGCUUGCUCCUCUCCUAGAGUGGCGGACUGGUGAGUAACGCGUGGAUGAUCUACCUUUGAGAUGGGGAUAGCUUCUAGAAAUAGGAGAUAAUACCGAAUAACCUUAUUAUGUUAUGACGUAGUAAGAAAAUGGAGCGUCAGCUCCGCUUAAAGAUGAGUCUGCGUCCCAUUAGCUAGUUGGUAAGGUAAAGGCCUACCAAGGCGACGAUGGGUAUCCGGCCUGAGAGGGUGAACGGACACAUUGGGACUGAGAUACGGCCCAAACUCCUACGGGAGGCAGCAGCUGAGAAUCUUCCGCAAUGGACGAAAGUCUGACGGAGCGACACCGCGUGAACGAUGAAGGCCGGAAGGUUGUAAAGUUCUUUUGCAGACAAAGAAUAAGGAUAGAAGGAAAUGACUAUCUGAUGACGGUAGUUAGCGAUAGCC